Carassius auratus (goldfish) is the source of this 968-nucleotide long non-coding RNA. RefSeq lists it as uncharacterized. The transcript has 3 exons. NCBI's taxonomy places the organism in Eukaryota, Metazoa, Chordata, Actinopteri, Cypriniformes, Cyprinidae. The record is from RefSeq and is a predicted model, not a curated record.
AAACGAGGAGGUCAUGCGUAUGCAUAUUAUAUGUUCAGUCUAUAGGUAUGUAUGCAGUGUUUCUUUACAAAGUGACAUCGCCAACUACCGGCCUGGCAUGCAUAAUGCAGCAUUUUUAUUUGUUUGCAUAGAUCAAUGUGAAAAGGGAUUGUUUUGACAAUGUUGUCACCUGAAUAGAAAUCUUUUCAAAAACACAAAGGAAAAACUUCUCUUCUUUUUGUUGUCGUGUAAACACCCCAAGUUUUCUCAUUUAACAAUGCCACAUAAACUUCAUUCAUUCAACUUAACUAGGCAGACACCUUGCUUUGUUUAACAUGGAGUCUGUAAGGAUCCGUCUCCAAAUGCUGAUCGGUGACCCAUUUAGCAUGUCCUCAAAUAAUCUUCACAUUAAGCAGCGUUGGUCCUCAUCUUAGGUCACAGGUGGCUGGGCUCCUGGGGCCCAGAACGAGUAGAGUUAAUUGAACACAAGGCGCCCGUCCCCCUGCCUACGUGCUCGCCGUCUGAGUGGAACAGUGUAUUUCCAGCGAGCGAGUGAAAGACAGAAUAAUGCCGUGCCUUGUGUGCCCCGGCGAGCGAUCACUGCUCUGCCGUUGCCAUGGUGACAGUGCCCUCGCUGGGUACAGCGGGCUGGAGAAGUUGCUCUGGCUCUGCGUCAUAUUUAUUCCAGUGGAUCCGUAUGCUCUCUCCCGCCUCCUCCUUUUUGCUCUCCUCUAUGUUCUCUCUCUCUCGCUCUCUCUCUCUCUCUCUCUCUCUCUGUCCAUGCUUUUUAGGGCUAAUUGACCCAGCUCCAGAUCAUCAAUACGUCGAGCUUCGACUAGCACAAACAGCACAGACCCUGAAAAGCGUGGCAGCACCUGGAACACCACCGUGACUGCGAGCGAAGAAGAAGCCCAUGCUAACAGUGCGUGGACUGAACAACACCAUUUCAUUAAGAGCAGUGCCAAACAUGUGAGAAGAUGUCUGUUGGA